Molecule: ribosomal RNA, 253 nt
Filed under: uncultured bacterium
Lineage: Bacteria
Description: partial 16S ribosomal RNA
Rfam family: Bacterial small subunit ribosomal RNA
Source: RNAcentral
UACAGAGGGGGCAAGCGUUGUUCGGAAUUACUGGGCGUAAAGGGCGCGUAGGCGGCCUUCUAAGUCGAACGUGAAAUCCCCGGGCUCAACCCGGGAACUGCGUCCGAUACUGGAAGGCUUGAAUCCGGGAGAGGGAUGCGGAAUUCCAGGUGUAGCGGUGAAAUGCGUAGAUAUCUGGAGGAACACCGGUGGCGAAGGCGGCAUCCUGGACCGGUAUUGACGCUGAGGCGCGAAAGCCAGGGGAGCAAACGGG